GGUCUCGCCGCUCAGUGUCGUCUUGUUGGUUGUCGCGUUCGUGUGCGCGCACUGAGAAAAGCGGAACGCCAGCGUUGCACUAACCGUUGCAGUUUCUAUAUUCCUCUCGAGUCGCCCGAUUUCAGAGCUGUUCGUACCGCUCGUGGAGUGCGUGCGUUUUAACCAAAACAACUACCAAAUCGCGUACAAGAUACCAAACCAAUACAACCGAUAGGCCCGAAAGGAAAACCCCAUGCUGUGGAGGGCAUUUUGCAUUUUGUUUACCUCGAUGGCUGUGUGGAGUGCAAUUUGACGAUUAUAUAAUAUAAAAUACAAAAUACAAAAAAAUAGCGAAAACAAGUAACAGUGCGCGGCAUUCGAUUUUAAUUGCAAUCAACUACAAUAACCGCUGAAAUCUUUUGCAGUAAUAUGUUGCCUUCAAAUCAAUUGGGAAACCAACAACCAAAGUUAACGCAACGUUUCUAAAACUUAAAGUCUAAACACCAAACCAAAUAAUAGUUACAAAAUACACAAUAAUAUUUAAACCAAACCAAAAGUGGCCUGCAAAACGAAGCAACCAAAACAACCAAGAAAUGUGAUUCAAAGUGUGCAAUGUAACCAAAUUAUAAUUAGCAAGCUAAAUAAAACGAUAACCAAAGCAGAAGAAGAGCCGUGGAAAAUCAGCGGGAAAACCAAAGCCAGGCCAAAUGGAAAACAAGGAAUCCGGCAGCCAAUCAAACAGCCAACUAGCAGCCAUCGUGGCCAAUGAUUAAGGGAACACUUUGUUAGCCAACUCGUAGUAGCAGCAUCCCCCGUCCACACAUAACACCCAGUAACACAGCCACUCAGCCGCACAGAACCACUCGACCUCCCCUCGCAUCUCGAUGCCCGCACAGAAGGCGUUGGAGCAACAAUUAUAGAAUAGACAGCCAGACAACCACAUCAGCUCCGCUCAGACCCAACUGCAAACUCCAAUCACCAGCUCCAGCUCCAACUCAAUCUCAAUCCCGAGCCAAAACCCCCAACAUGGACAUCAAGAUUGAGCAGCAGCAGCAGCAACAGCAAGUGGAGCUGGGACCCUGUUCCCCCUCGGAGGUGCCCAAUGAUCCCGGAAAAAUGUUCAUUGGCGGCCUCAGUUGGCAGACAAGUCCAGAGAGCUUACGCGAUUACUUCGGACGUUACGGUGAUAUCUCAGAGGCUAUGGUCAUGAAGGAUCCCACGACGCGCAGAUCCAGAGGCUUCGGCUUUGUCACAUUCAGCGAUCCAAAUAGCGUAGAUAAGGUACUCACCCAAGGCACACACGAGCUGGAUGGCAAAAAGGUCGAUCCGAAAGUAGCUUUUCCGCGCCGUGCACAUCCCAAGAUGGUGACGAGAACGAAGAAAAUCUUUGUGGGCGGCCUCUCGGCGCCCACCACACUGGAGGAUGUCAAAAGUUACUUCGAACAGUUUGGUCCGAUCGAGGAUGCAAUGUUGAUGUUCGAUAAGCAGACCAAUCGGCACAGAGGUUUUGGCUUCGUUACAUUUCAAAGCGAAGAUGUGGUAGACAAAGUUUGCGAAAUUCAUUUCCACGAGAUAAACAACAAAAUGGUCGAGUGCAAGAAGGCGCAGCCGAAGGAAGUGAUGCUGCCGGCCAAUCUGGCCAAGACGCGGGCUGCCGGGCGUUCCGCAUACGAUAACAUCAUGUGGGGACUGGGGACAUUGCCCGAAGGUUUUCCGGCAGCCGCCUAUGCUGCCUAUGCCGCUGGUCGCGGAUACUCGGGCUAUCCCAGUUUUGGACUGCCCUAUCCAACUGUUGAUCUAACCAAUGGGCAGCUGACACCCAACAACAAUACACCGCUGCUGACCCAGGCGCUGUCAGUGAUGAACAACUAUCAGGCGGCUGCUGCGGCUGCCCACAGCUAUGGACCGUCGGCAUCGCCGCAUGCCGCCGCCGCCAACACGGCCACCCGGCAGGGAUUCCCCUCCACCAACUCACCUGGCCCCACCAUCGACAUGUACAGCUCGGCGGCCGCCGACAAUGUGGGCUAUGUGCAGGCCACCAGUCCGCAGCCGUCCGGCUUCCCCAUCGCCGUCAGCCGCGCCCCGUUGAACUACAGCCCGAUUUAUUCGUUGAACUUUGCGAUGGCUAAUAUAUAAAAGACUGAUAACCCAAAAAUAUAAAUGCAAGAGAACAAAACAAAACAAAAGAUAUGCAAAAAGUAAAAGAAACCCAUUAUAUAUUUAAAUCGAAAAAAUAUAUGAAAAAUACAAAUAAAAUAAAGCUAAACGAAAGCAAACAAAAGAAAUAAGAGUAUAAAACAAACGCAGUUGCACAAGGGACCACUAAUUCCUGCGGCAUUUACAAAUGGAUACCAUUAAAAGGUGGCGCCGACAACCGCAAUGACAACAGCAACAACAACAGCAACAGCAGCAGCAGCAGCAACAACAGCAACAGGAGCAACAAAUGCAACAGCAACUUUAGCAACAAAUGACAGACACACACACACAUACACACUCAGACACAGAUACACACUGCAGUGCUGCAACCACAGAGCGCAAAAAAGAAGUAAUUUAAAGUUAUAUAUACCUGCAUAUAUAUAAAUAUAAAUCAAAUAAAGUACAUAUUACAUAUUUGUGUAUUUCCACAUGCAAGAAAAACCGAGACAACUGCAAGAGCAACAAACAAUAAACCAAACACACAUAUUAUAAUUAAUUAAUUAACGUAUAUUACAAAUACGUAUAUAUAAACGCAUGGGAAAAACGUAAAAAAGCGAAAAAUGAACAAAAAAAAGUGAUGAGGACGAACUACGAGCGAACACAAACAACAAAAAUUAAUUUUAAUUUAACAACUACUACAACAACAACAACAAAAUCGGCAAGAACAACGCUCGGCCCCGAAAGAUGCAACGUGUGCAGCAAAAAUCGUUUAAAAUGCAAAUUAAACGGAAACUGUGCGUCCAACUGGAGUGGAGUGCCAUCGCGAUGGGGCGGUGGGUGGGGGCGUGGUCCUGCUCACACAGCGAAAAAAAGGACUCCACCGCACCGAGCCGCCAACACGCCCCACGCCCACCGCCCACAGAUGACAACCAGGCCAAAAGGGGCGUAACCACUUUUAAGUAAUGAGAAACCAACAAACAAAAAAGCAAAAACCAAACAAAAAAAAUAUAAAUCACAAAAAAGUACGUGGGGGUUACUAAUAAAACGACAGAGUUGAAAAACAGGAUAAAGCGAAAAUGUUGCAAUAAUAGCGAAAAUGUUAUUAUUUAAUUGCGUAUUAUUAAAGGCAAAUUAUUAUUACCAUUAUUAUUGCUAUUCUUAACGUAUCUAAGUUGUAACUUUUAAAGUUAAAGUCGAUAUAUAUAUAUAUAUAGUAUAUAUACCUAUAUAUACACAAGAAUAUACACUCUUAUACACAUAAAGUAAACUGCAAUAUAUACAAAGGGAAUUACUUGAAUCAAAAAACGCGAAACCAACCACAAGUUAUUGUACUUUCAACGAUAAUCGAUUUAAGAUGCGAAUUGGAGGUGUUCGAGUUUGAAAAUGUUAAGAAUCGGUUGGGUUUAGUUCUGAUUUCCGGACUGGGUUGGGGUAUGAAUCAAAUCAAAAUUGUGCUUACAAUUAUAUUUAUGAAUUUAUUUUAAAGUACAACAAAUCCUUUAUUGGCCAAAGUAAACAACAAAGAAACAAAAGCGAAUGUGAGCAAAAGUCGAAGGCAAUUUGUUAUUAACUAUGUUGAAGUUCUCUUUCUCAUUAUUUCAAUCGAGUCAGGGGAAGGUAGAGGAAAAACCUAUAACUUUUGUGUUCACAUUGAAAGCAAAGUGGUAAAUAAUGCUAAUUAAUCAGUGGAUAGUUAGACAAAUAUGUUAAAGCAUUAAAUAUGACAAUGAAAGCGAAGUGAGAGAGUGAAAUUCCGUAGCUCGAUGCAUAAAUCAAUUUAUUUGCUAAACACAAUGGAGUAUCCGAAACAAUGAAAACGCAAAAAGCAAAAUGCAACACCCUAAAUAUGUAAGAAACACACCAUUUUUGAGAUACAAGAUACCAGAGAGCAGAUACAAGAUACAUACAUACACGCCACACACCCAAACACAAUACACGAACAUAACACAGAUCUUACCGAUAAAUCAAAAAGAAACACUUAAACAAAUUACUUGGUAAGAGCAUAUGCAAAUAUAACAAUGAACUAUUAUACAUACAACAUAUAGUACGAUUAAGUAAAUAAAAUAUUUAUAAAACAAACGCGCAAAAUUGCAAAUGUUUGAACACUUAACUAAAUAUAUCUGUAAACAAGCGUGUAAAAAGGAUCACAGAUGCGCCACCAAAGCGCUAGUGGAAAAUUGGAAAUGAAAACGAUGAUGAAAAUUGAAAUGAAUAUGAAAAUGUCGAUGACGAUGACGAUGAUGAUGAAUGCAGGCCACGCAAUGUGCAAUUAAUUUUUUUCUAGUCGCUCCGUCCGGCUAAAUCGCCCGGACGAUGAAUGUACUAGACAUAUUUGAGGAUUAUGACGAUAACGACGACGAUGCAAUCGGGGGCGUAAUAGAAAAAUAUAUUUAUAUACAACUAUAUGGAGUAUUAAAUUAUUGGAAAAGCAAACCAAACAAAACCUAUCAGCUAGAUAAGUAAACAACAUUUGUUACACACAGCAAGUGGGGGAUAAUUGCGAGCAACAAAAAACCAGAAAACCAAAAUAGCAGAGACAAGAAAAUAUUCUAUAAUUGACAGAACAACAAUACAUACGUUGCGCUUUUUGUCUGUCUGAGAUUUUUUGCAUUAGGCGACGAAAAAACAAAAACCCACACACACACACACACACAACUGAAACAAAAGCCAAGAGACAGCAAACAGCAAGCGGAGAAAAGCCAGUGGAAAAACAAAAGCAAAUGCCGAAACAGUGAAAAUGUUCCUUUCAUAACUUUUUUGCCAAAUUGUCAAACCAACGCUCUCCAGGAAUUUUGUCGAGUCCUCGGACCAACAAACUUACACAUUACCUAUAUAGUAUGUUAGAUGGAAUCGCGGAAACAGAAACCGAAUCCGAACAGCAAACAUAUGCGAUAAUUGAAGAGGGACAGCAAAUAGUUGCAGUGUAACAUAAACAACAUUAAACGUUUAAAGAGUUGACUAUACCCCACACGCCGAUCAUUUCAGAUUUUCCAAAGAUCGCGGCUUGCGACUUUGCCAUGUGCAUCACACUUACAUAUAAAUAAUCAAAAAACCAAACAAAUUAAGGAAGCUAAGGAAGGGGGAAAUCUUCAAUUUUAGAUAGACAAAGAUCAGACCAUUCGACGGUCUGGCAUAUCGGGACUUUGGACGGAAGAAGAUUACUUUAGCAGGUCACAGGUCAUUGGAGGCGAAUUCCAAAUGCAGCUUCUAUCCUGCGGGGCAGAUAUUUUUAAACGGGGGAGGCUGGCGGAGGGCAGCGACGGCAAACAUGUUAUAUUUGCAUAAUAUAUAUAUAUAUAUAUAUAUUAAACCUACUUCUAAGGCAUAUAUAAAUAUAUAUAAAUAAAUAUAUUUUUAAGACAUGUUCUAAAAGCAAUAAUUCAAAACAACAACAAGCGCGGCAGAGGCAGAAGUAAAUUGAACAAAUCCCCAAAAAAGGAAUACAUAAAAUAUACACCAAUAUAUAAAUAUACAUUAAAUAUAUACACCUACACCUAAUUAUAUAUAUAUACAUGCAUACCAGAUAUAUAUAUAUCUAUAUAUGUAUGUAUUCAAGAAGCGACUAGCUGCAACACCAGGCCGACCUUCGACUAUCUUAGUCCGAGUCUGAGGAAAUCAUUUCGCUGGCAGCUAAGCCUGUAUUGCUACACUUCUUUAACUAGUGCCCCAUGAUCCACGAUCGUUGGGCCGGCAAUCGUUUGUACUCGUAUUAUUUGUGGUGUAGGUAGACGCAGGACGAAGGACCUCGAGACAGACUCGGGAUCCCCAAAUCCCUUUUCGUUGUAAGUCGAUGCAGCUUUAGGUGUAAUGUUGAGUCUUUCCUAGAAGUUUCCCCAGCAUUCCCAGCUAUCGAUCGACUCUAGGCUUUCCGUUUGUGUUUUGUAGUGCUGUAUAUUCUAUUAAGGAUCUUCUGCGGAAGCUAUAGCCGAUCACAGACAUAUAUAGUAACUAUUGGUAUACCGGAUCAACUUCUGCUUAAAGAAUACCGAAACAACAAGCAAUGCGUCCUUGUAACAAAAUCAAUUUCAGUCAAUUAGAGAAUUUCCAACACCAAACAGCACAGAGACAUAAAGACAACAACAAGCAACAAGAACAUUUUUUAAAUACCAAAAAAAAAAGAACAAAAAGCGAACAAGUGAAGACAAAAACAAAGCAAAAACAAACAUUUUUUCAUUAUUUUUUUACUGAUGCGCCGUCGGAGCGAAGAAAAUAUAGGUUGAGAUCGCGGAAGUGGACGGCGCAGGCGCAAAAGCUUUAAAUUGAACAAAAUAUUAAUAACACGAACAAGGAAAAAAAAAACAAUUUAUAGGAUUCGACAUGUGAGCUCUCUUUUUUAUAUCGAGAACGGAGAAGUGUGUGUGUAUAAAAAGUAUGCCGUAACGAUUUUUUUAAAAUAAUGUACCCCAUACUUUAAGCUAUACGCAACUUUCGGUCAAAAAGUCAAUUGGUGGUCGAAGCCGGGUGGUAGAAAGCCAAAAGUUGAAAAUAAACACGUGGCACAAAAAAGACAUAAAGUGUAAUGUAAAAUAGUUUUAAAUUGGCGGAACACCAGAAGACGACGAUGAGGAUUGGGUGUAGGCGGAGUUACGUAGAUACAUAUACGAAUUGCUUUCCGUUUUUCUCUUAUUAUUGACUUACAAACAUAUCAGUUCUUAUUAUGUGUAUGAGUAUAGCAACAACAUCAACAAAUACGAUUACAAUUACGAUAAAGAUUACGAUAAUGAAAUACAAUUUAACUAAUAUCUAGCGCUAACGAACGAAUGUACUUUCUGUUUACCAAAACCAAGAACAACCACACAGAUGAGUUAGGCAUGCCGCCCACUUGGCCUUUUUGAGAAGCGCAGAGAGAGGCGCAAAGGGGCGCAUUUGCGAACGAUUUACGACUUGUGGGCCUUCUACACUUUGACGUGCUUUUAUACGAUAGCAAUCCUUUUACUCACACAAGACAUUUCUAUCCUCGGUUCUUUUUUAUAGACAUGUGUACAUACACCCCACAGCACCCACAUAAAGGACACACACACCCAUACAACCAUACACCCACACUCAGCCACAGACAAAGACACAGUCACAGACACUGGCACACGCAUAUAUACGAUGGAGAUCACAUACAAAAGAACCUUCAUACGAACGAUCACUUGACUAUUUUUGCUAUAAGUAAGAAAUUCCCCCCAGGAAUGUGUCAGUUGGAAGUGGCAGAACUCCUGCUGACAAAACACCUUUACUAUAUUGACAAUAUCUCUUAUAUAUUUUACACUAUACUAUAUGGAAAAUUAUAUAUUAAUAUAUACAAGAAAAUGAGGAAAACCAAAAACCAAAAACAAAUAAUACAUAAUUGAGGCAAGACAAACGGCGUGAGUGGCGUUAAAAUUGUAUUUACAAGAAAUGCGUAACCAAGCAAGAUGAAAUCAUUUUAAUACUUUAUACACAUAAAAGUCAAAGGAAUCUUUAGAGAGGAAAACAGGCGGCAGAUGAAUAUGCAACUACAAGACAGACAACAAGACGAUGAAGAUACAUUUAUAAAAUGCGCCAUAGCAGGGCGUCCAGUUUGUAAGUAUUCUAACUAUGUAAGUAAAGUAAUUAAGGAGCGCAGAACGAGAAUCAAUUAAACAUACAUACUACUGUCUACGAAGCCGCAGAGCCAAAAACUCUGCCCACUUUCAGUGCGAAUACUGUAACAACACAAAUGAAACCAGAUGGAAUGAAUGCCGGAUGCAGGAUGCGAUGUAUUCGCAUGAUUCAAAAUCGGACACAUUGGGUAUGAUGAUGAAUGUUGGAUGCGAGUUGCGAGUUGCGAGAUGGCCAAUGUGUGUACAUAAGCAUAAACAUAAUAUAAACUGGUACAGUACUACACUUACAGCAAACUAUACAAGGUAACAACAUAAUAAUUAAACGCCAGGAAAGCGCAACAAAGCGACAAAGGCGAAGACACAUACACAUAAAUAGAGGCAUAACGAGAAUUUAAUAAACCAUUUUUCAUUUCUAUAAAGAAAUCCGGUAACGAAUUUGUAUAUUUACUACGAGAGAAUGCAUAAGAACGAGUCAAGAAAUAAGAAAAUCCGAGAUAUAUACAAAAAGAUAUAUAUUAAACGGAGGACAAAUCCCAAAAAGACCGAAGAAUCCUUCUGAGGACAGCAAAUAAGCCCGUAUAUAUGAGAAAAUAAAACCCAAAUUGAUAUAUACAUAUAUAUACAUAGUUAUAUAACCAAGAACAACAAAUAAACAUAUAGUUAAAUUCAAUAAUGUUAAGCAUUCGAUGAGCAAACAGACAGGCAGGCAGUCACGCAUAUUGGUGGUUACAAAAAAAUUCAAUUAUAUUUAAGGACCCUCGAACCGAAAGAACAUAAUGAAACUAUGCGGCCACCAACAGCAUCAGCAACAAAACCAUCAACAACGGCAACAUCCUUAACAACAAACGCAAGUGCAACAUUUAUUAACGGACGACAAAAGGGCAAAUUGUUGCUCUUUUACACACACGAAAUUACAUAAGUUUUUAAGAGAGAGACACACACACACACCUCACCCAUUCACACCCACAUCCACUCACACAGUCAGCCCGCAAUAUGUAUAUGCAGCAAAAGUGCGAACAGCUUUAGCAGCAAAUUAAAACUCACUUUGUUCACCAUGUGCCACGUACAGGGGAGGAUAGACGAGGAUCUUGGGGAAGUGGAUGGAUAGCUAUCCCACUAUACCCUCGAUCGGGUUAAGAUCGGCAGUGAAAUAGGCAGAAUCAGCAGCAAGAACAGAGAUCAGCAACCGCAUAUUAAACCAAAAUGAACAAAAAAACGGAGAAAACAAACAAAAAAUUCAAAUGAACAAAAAUGAACUAAAACAUGAUUUUAAACAAAAAUGAAAUUAAAUAAUGGCAUAUUAAGUUAAGCUAAUGGUACAUAAGUUUAAAAAACAAACGGCAAGAAACGCUCUAGAGCAACAAAAAAACAAGAUGAACCGAAAACCAAGACAAACAAAUAUAUAUAUAUAUAUAUAUAUAUAAAUAUAUAUA
This is an RNA transcript of Drosophila simulans, 9115 nucleotides long. It is a transcript of the gene named RNA-binding protein Musashi homolog Rbp6, with no coding region annotated. The transcript has 16 exons. The record is from RefSeq and is a predicted model, not a curated record. NCBI's taxonomy places the organism in Eukaryota, Metazoa, Arthropoda, Insecta, Diptera, Drosophilidae.